CGAUGCGCAGAAUUAUGGCGAAAUCGAUGGCGUAAUCGACAAUAUUAGUCGCGUGCUCUAUGUCCUCUAAUUCACAGUGAACGACACCGGUGUCCGGCAAUUUUUAUUUUUGGUGAUUACGCGACAAAACGUAACUCCUCGUGAUCUAUCAUCGAUGACGAUCAUUCGCGAACUCGGGAAACGUUCUUUUUGAGUCGCGAGCUGCCGAACAACUCCUUCGAAUGGACGUGGCGAUGGAGGAAAAUAGCAGCGACCAGUAUUAGUUGGAGCUUGUCCAAUUUCGAUUCUCACAAUUGAGUCAUUUUCCAGAACAGAUCUAAUUAAAAAACUAAAUCUUCAUGACAACAAAUGAUAAACAUUUAUGUUUCUUUUUUCUCUCCUACAUUUCCUCUAAAAUAACCAUAUACAAAAAUAUAUUCCAAGAAUAAUUAUUAUAAUGGUUCUAUUUUGAUGCAUAAACCAAAGAUGAAACAAACAAUCGAUCAAUUUAAAUCUUCACUAAUGUAGCAGUAACUCUCAACAAGGUUGCUGGCAAACGAUACGAUGUCAACCAAACCCUCAAAAAAAAAAAAACGCGCGUAGUAUGCAAACGCAUUAUAUAAUAGACGAGAAUAAACUAAGUAUAUGCCUAAUAAUAUCUUAAUUGUGCGUACGAGAGACUUUUUCACUAAUGUAUCAGCUAAAUCAUCAACAUAAAAUUUUAUGUCUGCAAUAACAAAAAUAAUUGCAACGACAAUCAUCAUUUCUAGUCACCAUUGAUGAUUAUGAUGAUGAUGAUGAUUACGAGUAUGAUGCUGACGAAGACAAAAAUUCAUGAUGAUGAUGAUGAUGAUGACUAUAACGAUAAUGAUGAUGACGAUCAUGAUGAUGAGAAUAGAGCGUGGCGUAUUAUCCGCCGGGCAGGAGUAAUCAUCAUUUAGCUGAGGCCAAUGGGAAACACCAUGAGGCUUGGAACAGUUUCAACGUCGCGGGUACUAACGGGGAUGACUAGCUUGCUCUUCGGUGACCGUAAUGCCUGGAGAGUCGCCCUGGCCGUGGGUGAAACCUUUAGGGAGGCGGCGGAUGGUCGGAUGGGACCUUCGGGCCGCUUUGGACCCACAUCUUCC
Cataglyphis hispanica is the source of this 1106-nucleotide long non-coding RNA. RefSeq lists it as uncharacterized. Lineage: Eukaryota; Metazoa; Arthropoda; Insecta; Hymenoptera; Formicidae. The record is from RefSeq and is a predicted model, not a curated record. The transcript has 5 exons.